AGAAUCAACGCUGGCGGCGUGCCUAACACAUGCAAGUCGAACGAGAAAGUGGGAGCAAUCCCACGAGUAAAGUGGCGCACGGGUGAGUAACACGUGACUAACCUACCCUUGAGUGGGGGAUAACCUAGGGAAACCUGGGCUAAUACCGCAUAAUACCUACGGGUCAAAGGAGCAAUUCGCUUAAGGAGGGGGUCGCGGCCGAUUAGUUAGUUGGCGGGGUAAUGGCCCACCAAGACUGUGAUCGGUAUCCGGCCUGAGAGGGCGCACGGACACACUGGAACUGAAACACGGUCCAGACUCCUACGGGAGGCAGCAGUGGGGAAUUUUGCGCAAUGGGGGAAACCCUGACGCAGCAACGCCGCGUGGAGGAUGAAGUCCCUUGGGACGUAAACUCCUUUCGAUCGGGACGAUUAUGACGGUACCGGAAGAAGAAGCCCCGGCUAACUUCGCGCCAGCAGCCGC
Molecule: ribosomal RNA, 462 nt
Filed under: uncultured bacterium
Lineage: Bacteria
Description: SSU rRNA
Rfam family: Bacterial small subunit ribosomal RNA
Source: RNAcentral